GGGGGACUGGGAGAGGGGGGAGAAAUGGAGAGGGGGAAAGUGAAUGCGCCGAGUUGGUUUUCGCAGCAUUCCAAAAGCGAGGGUGUCGUGCUUGCACACAGCGGAGGGGUUUUCUGUGUCGUCGCCGCGGUUCCGAAGCGGUGCGUUGCGUCACGCGGUUCUGCUUGGAGGUGGAAAACGAAACCGCUCCGACUCCUCUCUGUCACCCAGGGCUACCAAGGCUGUGAGGAAGGGCUGCGUGCCAUGAGCUGGAUUGCUGCCUUUCUUUGUCACCUCCGCUUCAUCACACGGGAGCUCAUGGAAGAGCAGGCAGGGAGCCCAGCUGCUGUCAGCCUCCAGCUCUGGGCGCCUGCACAGCCAGGCAGCAGAAGGUGGAGGGGAACAAGAGCAUGCUGCAUGGGCUGAUGUGCAUGACAACAUCUGCUAGACAGGAGACAGCAGCACAGGGUGGACAGAAGCAGUGCAACUCUCCCUAACCAUCUAUGUGACUCCUACACUUGUGUGCAUGUGGCCACAGCUCUUCUACCCCUCUUUCCAGGUAAGGCAGUAACCACAGAGGUGCUUUCAAAACCAGCUGUCUGUGUUGUGGCUGCAAACACUGCUGACUUUCCUGUUAAUUUUCUCUAGAUACAAGCAUGAUAGGCAGCUCUCUUCCUGGUUAUUACACGUCUCAACACUGCUACAGAAUCUCCCCGUGUGGCACAGGGCAUCGUUUUACCUCCGAAGGAAAUUCUGAUCACGUUGAGCUUCCCUGCCUCAACAGGAUGGGCAGGGCAGUGUCCAUCACAGCCACACCUGUGUGCAUAAUCCUGCAAACAAAGCGACAGAAAUCUUGGGGUUCUGGAAACAGAAGGGAAAAUUAAGCUCAAUUAGAAUGUACUUUCCAGCCUUGAUACAAGUUUACAUAACUCUACCA
RNAcentral lists this long non-coding RNA (916 nucleotides) under Gallus gallus (chicken). RNAcentral's name for it is "long non-coding RNA NONGGAT004719". The record is from RNAcentral. Lineage: Eukaryota; Metazoa; Chordata; Aves; Galliformes; Phasianidae.